GGCCUCGUGGCGCAACGGUAGCGCGUUCGACUCCAGAUCGAAAGGUUAUCCGUUGUAAGUAAUCCAUUCAAACCAAUGGUUA
Annulohypoxylon moriforme is the source of this 82-nucleotide non-coding RNA. The record is from the annotation of a GenBank genome assembly. Lineage: Eukaryota; Fungi; Ascomycota; Sordariomycetes; Xylariales; Hypoxylaceae.